CCUACGGGUGACAGCAGUAGGGAAUAUUGCGCAAUGGGCGAAAGCCUGACGCAGCGACGCCACGUGAGGGAUGAAGGUCUUCGGAUCGUAAACCUCUGUCAGCAGGGAAGAACGGUCACUGUGCUAAUCAGCAGUGAAUUGACGGUACCUGCAAAGAAAGCACCGGCUAACUCCGUGCCAGCAGCCGCGGUAAUACGGAGGGUGCGAGCGUUAUUCGGAAUUAAUGGGCGUAAAGCGCUCGUAGGCGGUAUGUCAAGUCAAGGGUGAAAUCCCCGCGCUCAACGUGGGAACUGCUUUUGAAACUGGCAAACUGGAGUGUGAGAGAGGAUAGUGGAAUUCCAGGGGUAGGAGUGAAAUCCGUAGAUAUCUGGAGGAACAUCAGUGGCGAAGGCGACUAUCUGGCACAUAACUGACGCUGAGGAGCGAAAGCGUGGGGAGCAAACAGGAUUAGAUACCCUAGUAGUC
This 465-nucleotide ribosomal RNA is filed under the name uncultured bacterium. RNAcentral describes it as "partial 16S ribosomal RNA". It matches the Rfam family "Bacterial small subunit ribosomal RNA", at positions 338 to 795 of the family's 1533-position model. The record is from RNAcentral.